UACGUAGGGGGCUAGCGUUGUCCGGAAUCAUUGGGCGUAAAGCGCGUGUAGGCGGCCGGUAAGUCCGCUGUGAAAGUCGGGGGCUCAACCCUCGGAUGCCGGUGGAUACUGUCGGGCUGAGUGACGGAAGAGGCGAGUGGAAUUCCUGGUGUAGCGGUGAAAUGCGCAGAUAUCAGGAGGAACACCAAUUGCGAAGGCAGCUCGCUGGGACGUUUACUGACGCUGAGACGCGAAAAGCGUGGGGA
Molecule: ribosomal RNA, 245 nt
Filed under: uncultured bacterium
Lineage: Bacteria
Description: partial 16S ribosomal RNA
Rfam family: Bacterial small subunit ribosomal RNA
Source: RNAcentral